GUCUAUGGUCAUGCCACCCUGAACAUGCCCGAUCCCAUCUGAUCUCGGAAGUUAAGCAGGGUUGGACCUGGUUAGUACUUGGUUGGGAGACCACCUAGGAAGACCAGGUGCUGUAGGCU
Molecule: ribosomal RNA, 119 nt
Filed under: Pteropus alecto (black flying fox)
Lineage: Eukaryota; Metazoa; Chordata; Mammalia; Chiroptera; Pteropodidae
Source: RNAcentral